UCAGGAUGAACGCUAGCGGGAGGCUUAACACAUGCAAGUCGAGGGGCAGCACGAUGUAGCAAUACAUUGGUGGCGACCGGCGCACGGGUGAGUAACGCGUAUGCAACCUACCCUGUACAGGGGGAUAGCCCGGAGAAAUUCGGAUUAAUACCCCAUAAUGAUAUUGAGAGGCAUCUUUUAAUAUUUAAAGUUUCGACGGUACGGGAUGGGCAUGCGUGACAUUAGCUAGUUGGUAGGGUAACGGCCUACCAAGGCUGCGAUGUCUAGGGGUCCUGAGAGGGUGAUCCCCCACACUGGUACUGAGACACGGACCAGACUCCUACGGGAGGCAGCAGUGAGGAAUAUUGGUCAAUGGACGUAAGUCUGAACCAGCCAUCCCGCGUGCAGGAAGAAGGCGCUAUGCGUCGUAAACUGCUUUUCCAGGGGAAGAAAACCUGAUACGUGUAUCGGCUUGCCGGUACCCUGGGAAUAAGCAUCAGCUAACUCCGUGCCAGCAGCCGCGGUAAUACGGAGGAUGCGAGCGUUAUCCGGAUUUAUUGGGUUUAAAGGGUGCGUAGGCGGAUUAAUAAGUCAGUGGUGAAAACCUUCAGCUUAACUGGAGACUUGCCAUUGAUACUGUUAGUCUUGAGUACGGUCAAGGUAGGCGGAAUGUGUAAUGUAGCGGUGAAAUGCUUAGAUAUUACACAGAACACCGAUUGCGAAGGCAGCUUACUGGGCCAUUACUGACGCUGAUGCACGAAAGCGUGGGGAGCGAACAGGAUUAGAUACCCUGGUAGUCCACGCCGUAAACGAUGAUCACUCGCUGUUAGCGAUACACAGUUAGCGGCUAAGCAAAAGCAUUAAGUGAUCCACCUGGGGAGUACGGCCGCAAGGCUGAAACUC
This 882-nucleotide ribosomal RNA is filed under the name uncultured bacterium. Its description in RNAcentral is "bacterial SSU rRNA". It matches the Rfam family "Bacterial small subunit ribosomal RNA", at positions 24 to 902 of the family's 1533-position model. The record is from RNAcentral.